RNAcentral lists this ribosomal RNA (1818 nucleotides) under Escherichia coli. RNAcentral describes it as "bacterial LSU rRNA". It matches the Rfam family "Bacterial large subunit ribosomal RNA", at positions 1128 to 2925 of the family's 2925-position model. The record is from RNAcentral. Lineage: Bacteria; Pseudomonadati; Pseudomonadota; Gammaproteobacteria; Enterobacterales; Enterobacteriaceae.
GAAAGCGUAAUAGCUCACUGGUCGAGUCGGCCUGCGCGGAAGAUGUAACGGGGCUAAACCAUGCACCGAAGCUGCGGCAGCGACGCUGAUGCGUUGUUGGGUAGGGGAGCGUUCUGUAAGCCUGAGAAGGUGUGCUGUGAGGCAUGCUGGAGGUAUCAGAAGUGCGAAUGCUGACAUAAGUAACGAUAAAGCGGGUGAAAAGCCCGCUCGCCGGAAGACCAAGGGUUCCUGUCCAACGUUAAUCGGGGCAGGGUGAGUCGACCCCUAAGGCGAGGCCGAAAGGCGUAGUCGAUGGGAAACAGGUUAAUAUUCCUGUACUUGGUGUUACUGCGAAGGGGGGACGGAGAAGGCUAUGUUGGCCGGGCGACGGUUGUCCCGGUUUAAGCGUGUAGGCUGGUUUUCCAGGCAAAUCCGGAAAAUCAAGGCUGAGGCGUGAUGACGAGGCACUACGGUGCUGAAGCAACAAAUGCCCUGCUUCCAGGAAAAGCCUCUAAGCAUCAGGUAACAUCAAAUCGUACCCCAAACCGACACAGGUGGUCAGGUAGAGAAUACCAAGGCGCUUGAGAGAACUCGGGUGAAGGAACUAGGCAAAAUGGUGCCGUAACUUCGGGAGAAGGCACGCUGAUAUGUAGGUGAAGUCCCUCGCGGAUGGAGCUGAAAUCAGUCGAAGAUACCAGCUGGCUGCAACUGUUUAUUAAAAACACAGCACUGUGCAAACACGAAAGUGGACGUAUACGGUGUGACGCCUGCCCGGUGCCGGAAGGUUAAUUGAUGGGGUCAGCGCAAGCGAAGCUCUUGAUCGAAGCCCCGGUAAACGGCGGCCGUAACUAUAACGGUCCUAAGGUAGCGAAAUUCCUUGUCGGGUAAGUUCCGACCUGCACGAAUGGCGUAAUGAUGGCCAGGCUGUCUCCACCCGAGACUCAGUGAAAUUGAACUCGCUGUGAAGAUGCAGUGUACCCGCGGCAAGACGGAAAGACCCCGUGAACCUUUACUAUAGCUUGACACUGAACAUUGAGCCUUGAUGUGUAGGAUAGGUGGGAGGCUUUGAAGUGUGGACGCCAGUCUGCAUGGAGCCGACCUUGAAAUACCACCCUUUAAUGUUUGAUGUUCUAACGUGGACCCGUGAUCCGGGUUGCGGACAGUGUCUGGUGGGUAGUUUGACUGGGGCGGUCUCCUCCUAAAGAGUAACGGAGGAGCACGAAGGUUGGCUAAUCCUGGUCGGACAUCAGGAGGUUAGUGCAAUGGCAUAAGCCAGCUUGACUGCGAGCGUGACGGCGCGAGCAGGUGCGAAAGCAGGUCAUAGUGAUCCGGUGGUUCUGAAUGGAAGGGCCAUCGCUCAACGGAUAAAAGGUACUCCGGGGAUAACAGGCUGAUACCGCCCAAGAGUUCAUAUCGACGGCGGUGUUUGGCACCUCGAUGUCGGCUCAUCACAUCCUGGGGCUGAAGUAGGUCCCAAGGGUAUGGCUGUUCGCCAUUUAAAGUGGUACGCGAGCUGGGUUUAGAACGUCGUGAGACAGUUCGGUCCCUAUCUGCCGUGGGCGCUGGAGAACUGAGGGGGGCUGCUCCUAGUACGAGAGGACCGGAGUGGACGCAUCACUGGUGUUCGGGUUGUCAUGCCAAUGGCACUGCCCGGUAGCUAAAUGCGGAAGAGAUAAGUGCUGAAAGCAUCUAAGCACGAAACUUGCCCCGAGAUGAGUUCUCCCUGACUCCUUGAGAGUCCUGAAGGAACGUUGAAGACGACGACGUUGAUAGGCCGGGUGUGUAAGCGCAGCGAUGCGUUGAGCUAACCGGUACUAAUGAACCGUGAGGCUUAACCUU